GACAUGUAACAAUGGAAAUAUGAACGUUCAAUCACUGGAUACAGUUGUGCAUUCGCGAAGAAAGAAUUUAUGGUUGUUGUUUUUAAUUAAUCCUCUUCUUUGAGCAGAUAAUGUUCAAGCUGAGCCCCCAAAACUGGAGAAUUUGCACCCUUGUCUCCUGCCUGACAGCCCUAGGAAGAAGACAGCAAAAGGACCUUUAUCAACAGAUCUGGGCAAGCAUGGGGGUGAACAUCUGCUGAUGUGACAUCAAAACUAUUGUUAUUAACCGCCUUGAUUCUGCCUCAACUCAUGCUGACCCUGUAGAUGAGAUCCCUGCAAGACCCCUGUCUUCAACUGCUCCACUCAGGUCCUUCAGGCCCAGGCCUGUGAACUUCCUAAAUGAAUCUAAUCAUCUGACAUAUCCAUGGUAUCCUUGGCUGUCCACAGUAUCCUCAGCCCAUUUCUCCAGCACCACGUCUCAGAGGAGUUGAUUUUCUUUCUUUUGGCUUUCUUCACUGUCCAGCUCUCUCAUCCAUACAUUCUGAUGGGGAAUAGAAUGGCUCUUAGACUAUCCUUACUUUAAUGUUCAGAGUUAUGUCUUUACAUUUUAUGGUCCUGUCCAUUUUUUUCAUGUCUGUCCUUCCCAGUCUUUAUCACAUGGACAAAAAGACAGAAUAAUAGUGAUAUGCUCCUGUCAAAAUCUCACAAUAAAAGGAUGUUAUUCACAUGA
Molecule: long non-coding RNA, 709 nt
Organism: Sceloporus undulatus (fence lizard)
Lineage: Eukaryota; Metazoa; Chordata; Lepidosauria; Squamata; Phrynosomatidae
Exons: 2
Source: RefSeq, a predicted model, not a curated record